This 495-nucleotide ribosomal RNA is filed under the name Pseudomonas sp. CL2.109. RNAcentral describes it as "bacterial SSU rRNA". It matches the Rfam family "Bacterial small subunit ribosomal RNA", at positions 13 to 502 of the family's 1533-position model. The record is from RNAcentral. RNAcentral also lists the same sequence under 1 other name. Lineage: Bacteria; Pseudomonadati; Pseudomonadota; Gammaproteobacteria; Pseudomonadales; Pseudomonadaceae.
UUGAUCCAUGGCUCAGAUUGAACGCUGGCGGCAGGCCUAACACAUGCAAGUCGAGCGGAUGACAGGAGCUUGCUCCUGAAUUCAGCGGCGGACGGGUGAGUAAUGCCUAGGAAUCUGCCUGGUAGUGGGGGACAACGUUUCGAAAGGAACGCUAAUACCGCAUACGUCCUACGGGAGAAAGCAGGGGACCUUCGGGCCUUGCGCUAUCAGAUGAGCCUAGGUCGGAUUAGCUAGUUGGUGAGGUAAUGGCUCACCAAGGCGACGAUCCGUAACUGGUCUGAGAGGAUGAUCAGUCACACUGGAACUGAGACACGGUCCAGACUCCUACGGGAGGCAGCAGUGGGGAAUAUUGGACAAUGGGCGAAAGCCUGAUCCAGCCAUGCCGCGUGUGUGAAGAAGGUCUUCGGAUUGUAAAGCACUUUAAGUUGGGAGGAAGGGCAGUAACUUAAUACGUUGCUGUCUUGACGUUACCGACAGAAUAAGCACCGGCUAACU